This is a long non-coding RNA of Hirundo rustica (Barn swallow), 852 nucleotides long. RefSeq lists it as uncharacterized. The record is from RefSeq and is a predicted model, not a curated record. Lineage: Eukaryota; Metazoa; Chordata; Aves; Passeriformes; Hirundinidae. The transcript has 3 exons.
AAUUGGAGUUUGCUGGCUAUGCUGUGAGGAGGAAGGGAUAGGAAGCAGUGAGCUGAAACUGCAGAAGAGAAAGAGCCAGAGCUGUGUGGGGUUGUUCAUACGACUGCAACUUAGCAAGGAUAUGGAAGCUGAACUUACCAUGAGGUUCUUCCUAAUAUAAAGGAUGAUGAAACUCCAGAAGGGAAAGGAGGCUGGGAAAGAGACAAGGAUUCUUCAGUUGUAGAAAGAUUCAAGGACCUUGAGGGUGUCCUCCUUCCAGAAGGUAAGGUGUGGAGUUCAGCUGGAUGAAGACAAGGUCAAUUCGUUCACUGACAAGAGCUGCUCUGAUGGGAGCUGAAAGCCCGGGCUAACUUCUCCCUUCCUUGGAAGUUGCAUUUAAACUGGGAUGGCACUGGUUCUAAUCUGGUCCUACAGUAGAACUACAACUGUUUGUGGUUUGCCUCCCUGACUGUGACUCUCUGGUUUGACCUCCAUCCUCUAAAUAGGUGCAUCCAUUUGUCAAACAGCUUUACAUCAUGAAAGCACCCUGAGAAAAUCUAAUUUGCACACAUCUCUGAGGUGUUCAUAACGCAUGAGAGUAAUUUUCAUUUCUCACCACAAUAAGUGAUGUCCCCUCCAUUUCCAGGUGUUUAUAUCACUAUUGUGCUGUUUGUUCUUGCUUAUGCUCACAUCCUCUAGUCUGUGAUCUGUCAUUUUUUUCUCCUCAAGCUCCAGGUCCUCAUACUUGCCUGCUCAUACAGUUCAAUUUCUGAUUUAUAGCUUCUUUUUCUUGUACACAGAUUUAGGUAGGGAAUGAAGAUUUAAAUUUCAGCUUCUGAGUGUGCCACAAAGGAACAAAAUUUCUUCUUGAAU